This 24-nucleotide non-coding RNA is filed under the name Arabidopsis thaliana (thale cress). The record is from RNAcentral. Lineage: Eukaryota; Viridiplantae; Streptophyta; Magnoliopsida; Brassicales; Brassicaceae.
UGGAACCAAGGAAGUACACAAUGC